This 448-nucleotide ribosomal RNA is filed under the name uncultured Streptococcus sp. RNAcentral's name for it is "bacterial SSU rRNA". It matches the Rfam family "Bacterial small subunit ribosomal RNA", at positions 934 to 1382 of the family's 1533-position model. The record is from RNAcentral. Lineage: Bacteria; Bacillati; Bacillota; Bacilli; Lactobacillales; Streptococcaceae.
GGAGCAUGUGGUUAAUUCGAAGCAACGCGUAAGAACCUUACCAGGUCUUGACAUCCCGAUGCUAUUUCUAGAGAUAGAAAGUUACUUCGGUACAUCGGUGACAGGUGGUGCAUGGUUGUCGUCAGCUCGUGUCGUGAGAUGUUGGGUUAAGUCCCGCAACGAGCGCAACCCCUAUUGUUAGUUGCCAUCAUUCAGUUGGGCACUCUAGCGAGACUGCCGGUAAUAAACCGGAGGAAGGUGGGGAUGACGUCAAAUCAUCAUGCCCCUUAUGACCUGGGCUACACACGUGCUACAAUGGUUGGUACAACGAGUUGCGAGUCGGUGACGGCGAGCUAAUCUCUUAAAGCCAAUCUCAGUUCGGAUGGUAGGCUGAAACUCGCCUGCCUGAAGCCGGAAUUGAUAGUAAUCACUGGUCAGCUAUACAGUGGUGAAUACGUACUCGGGUCUU